CAACAGGGUGACCAUAGUUGAUAACAACUUAAUUGUACCUUUAAAAAUAAUGUAAUUGGAUUGUUUGUAACACAAAGAACAAAUGCUUCAGGGGUUGGAUACCCCAUUCUCCAUGAUGUGAUUAUUACGCAUUGCAGGCCUAUAUUAAAACAUCUCAUGUACCCCAUAAAUAUACACACUUACUAUGUAGCCACAAAAAUUAAAAAUAAACUAAUUUAAAUAAAAAUAAAAAAUCUUUACUCAUAAAAAUAUCUUCAAAUUUGAAAGCAAACUAGAGAUAUUUUAAACAACUAAAAUUCAUUACCAACAAACAUGAAUUAUAAGCAAAAUUUAGAUUGGAAAGAAAGCAGUAAAAUUACAAUGGACAGUAGAAAGAAAUAAAAUAUGUAUUAGGAAGGAAGCAGUGAAACAGGCCGUGUAAAAAGUCCUAAAAAAUGUAAAAAGAUAGCUACUAGUACAAAUAAGUGAUUUUUACAAGGUUAUAGAAUACAAAGCUAAUAUACACUCCAUUAAAAUAAAAAAACUGCUCUUUAAAACAGUGAUCCCCAAACUUCCUGGCAGCAGGAAACAGUUUCGUGGAAGACAAACAGACUGGGGAGCUGGGGGGAUGGUAGAGAUGGUUUCGGGAUGAUUCAAGUGCAGUAUAUUUAUUGGGCACUUCAUUUCUAUUAUUACAUUGUAAUAUAUAAUGAAAUAGUUAUACAACUCACCAUAAUGUAGAAUCAGUGGGAGCCCCAAGUUUGAUUCCCUGAAACUAGACGGUCCUAUCUGGGGACGAUGGGACACAGUAACAGAUCAUCAGGCAUUAGAUUCUCAUAAGGAGCACACAACCUAGAUCCCUCGCAUGCACAGUUCACAAUAGGGUUUGUGCUCCUGUGAGAAUCU
RNAcentral lists this long non-coding RNA (885 nucleotides) under Homo sapiens (human). RNAcentral describes it as "non-protein coding lnc-CD180-14:1". The record is from RNAcentral. Lineage: Eukaryota; Metazoa; Chordata; Mammalia; Primates; Hominidae.